This 127-nucleotide transfer RNA is filed under the name Colletotrichum salicis. It matches the Rfam family "tRNA". From Rfam's summary of the family: Transfer RNA (tRNA) molecules are approximately 80 nucleotides in length. Lineage: Eukaryota; Fungi; Ascomycota; Sordariomycetes; Glomerellales; Glomerellaceae. The record is from Rfam by way of RNAcentral.
GGCAACUUGGCCGAGCGGUCUAAGGCGCCAGACUCAAGUGUCCCCAUCAAAAUGGUCACUUCCCCCCAGUAAGCGGAGGCGCAUUCUGGUCUCGAAAGAGGCGUGAGUUCGAAUCUCACAGUUGUCA